AGCUACGCGUAUAUUAUUCUGACGAUUCGUGACGUAGAGUUACACAAAGUAGGUAUAGAUGUGUAUAAUCUCGAAGUUUUUGCACUAUGUCGUGUAAAAUAAAAGGUACCUACUAGUUAUAGAGGGUAGAUAGAUAUGUGUCUAGUAUGUUGUUUAAAAAUAUUUAAAUAUUAAUUACCAGUGAUAUGUUUUAUCUAAAUAGUUAACCUACCUAUUUUUAUCUUAUCUAUAAAUAAAUAAUAAAUGAGUUUUCUAAGCUGUUAUCUACUAUAAUAAAGUCGUUCAGAUAAUUGUUUUUAAAUCGAAAUUUAUACAUUUAUUAAAAAUAAUAGGUAAAACAUUUAAUUUAUACAAUUUAUGUAAUUUAAUUUAUGCACUAAUAGGGUUAACCAAAUAAAUAGCUAAGUUAAAUAAGUCAUGGAAUGUGUAUACGAAAGAUGUGCGUGUACCAAACUUGGGAAACUUUUACUUCGUUUAGCAUUUUGUUUUAUGA
Molecule: non-coding RNA, 493 nt
Organism: Cinara cedri
Lineage: Eukaryota; Metazoa; Arthropoda; Insecta; Hemiptera; Aphididae
Source: the annotation of a GenBank genome assembly